This 253-nucleotide ribosomal RNA is filed under the name uncultured bacterium. RNAcentral's name for it is "partial 16S ribosomal RNA". It matches the Rfam family "Bacterial small subunit ribosomal RNA", at positions 524 to 776 of the family's 1533-position model. The record is from RNAcentral.
UACGAAGGGGGCUAGCGUUGCUCGGAAUUACUGGGCGUAAAGGGCGCGUAGGCGGACAGUUUAGUCGGGGGUGAAAGCCCGGGGCUCAACCUCGGAAUUGCCUUCGAUACUGGCUGUCUUGAGUACGGGAGAGGUGUGUGGAACUCCGAGUGUAGAGGUGAAAUUCGUAGAUAUUCGGAAGAACACCAGUGGCGAAGGCGACACACUGGCCCGUUACUGACGCUGAGGAGCGAAAGCGUGGGGAGCGAACAGG